GACGAACGCUGGCGGCGUGCUUAACACAUGCAAGUCGAACGGAAAGGCCCUGCUUUUGUGGGGUGCUCGAGUGGCGAACGGGUGAGUAACACGUGAGUAACCUGCCCUUGACUUUGGGAUAACUUCAGGAAACUGGGGCUAAUACCGGAUAGGAGCUCCUGCUGCAUGGUGGGGGUUGGAAAGUUUCGGCGGUUGGGGAUGGACUCGCGGCUUAUGAGCUUGUUGGUGGGGUAGUGGCUUACCAAGGCUUUGACGGGUAGCCGGCCUGUGAGGGUGACCGGCGACAUUGGGACUGAGAUAGGGCCCAGACGGCUACGGGAGGCAGCAGUGGGGAAUAUUGCACAAUGGGCGGAAGCCUGAUGCAGCAACGCCGCGUGCGGGAUGACGGCCUUCGGGUUGUAAACCGCUUUCGCCUGUGACGAAGCGUGAGUGACGGUAAUGGGUAAAGAAGCACCGGCUAACUACGUG
RNAcentral lists this ribosomal RNA (468 nucleotides) under uncultured bacterium. RNAcentral describes it as "partial 16S ribosomal RNA". It matches the Rfam family "Bacterial small subunit ribosomal RNA", at positions 28 to 507 of the family's 1533-position model. The record is from RNAcentral.